AAAACCUUAAAAAACAAAAGCCCUACCUCUCUUUUAUCAUUACGGCUCCUUGGCCGUGCCACUUAUAAUAAGGUGCUAAGUGUUUAA
Molecule: small RNA, 87 nt
Filed under: Anaerobacillus arseniciselenatis
Lineage: Bacteria; Bacillati; Bacillota; Bacilli; Caryophanales; Bacillaceae
Description: Bacillus arseniciselenatis BsrC
Rfam family: BsrC
About the family: The 301 nucleotide sequence from Kouji Nakamura has been trimmed to a highly conserved ~85 nucleotide long core to form this family.
Source: Rfam by way of RNAcentral